This 102-nucleotide small RNA is filed under the name Sodalis endosymbiont of Henestaris halophilus. RNAcentral's name for it is "rimP". It matches the Rfam family "Gammaprotebacteria rimP leader". The record is from RNAcentral. Lineage: Bacteria; Pseudomonadati; Pseudomonadota; Gammaproteobacteria; Enterobacterales; Bruguierivoracaceae.
UUAGAAUGCCUAUAAAUAAAGUUAUAAACACGUAACACCCCGAAUCUUCGGGGUUUUUUAUUAUGUCACUGUAGUGAGACUGGGCUAAUAAGCCCUUUUAUG